Small nuclear RNA from Bombus impatiens (common eastern bumble bee), 110 nucleotides. The record is from RefSeq and is a predicted model, not a curated record. NCBI's taxonomy places the organism in Eukaryota, Metazoa, Arthropoda, Insecta, Hymenoptera, Apidae.
GUGUAGUAUGAAAGGAGAGACAAACGUCUCUAGACUCCCCUAGACAAGGAUGGAACACAUAUAAAUGGUAAGGCACUGUCGCUUUUCGGCGGCUCUUACCAGAUUUUUCG